UACGGAGGGUGCAAGCGUUAAUCGGAAUUACUGGGCGUAAAGCGCACGCAGGCGGUUUGUUAAGUCAGAUGUGAAAUCCCCGGGCUCAACCUGGGAACUGCAUCUGAUGCUGGCAAGCUUGAGUCUCGUGGAGGGGGGUAGAAUUCCAGGUGCAGCGGUGAAAUGCGUAGAGAUCUGGAGGAAUACCGGUGGCGAAGGCGGCCCCCUGGACGAAGACUGACGCUCAGGUGCGAAAGCGUGGGGAGCAAACAGGAUUAGAUACCCUGGUAGUCCACGCCGUAAACGAUGUCGACUUGGAGGUUGUGCCCUUGAGGCGUGGCUUCCGGAGCUAACGCGUUAAGUCGACCGCCUGGGGAGUACGGCCGCAAGGUUAAAACUCAA
RNAcentral lists this ribosomal RNA (381 nucleotides) under uncultured bacterium. RNAcentral's name for it is "bacterial SSU rRNA". It matches the Rfam family "Bacterial small subunit ribosomal RNA", at positions 524 to 904 of the family's 1533-position model. The record is from RNAcentral.